This 430-nucleotide ribosomal RNA is filed under the name Verrucomicrobiota bacterium. RNAcentral's name for it is "Verrucomicrobia bacterium partial 16S ribosomal RNA". It matches the Rfam family "Bacterial small subunit ribosomal RNA", at positions 355 to 776 of the family's 1533-position model. The record is from RNAcentral. Lineage: Bacteria; Pseudomonadati; Verrucomicrobiota.
UAGGGAAUCUUCGGCAAUGGGGGGAACCCUGACCGAGCAACGCCGCGUGAGUGAAGAAGGUUUUCGGAUCGUAAAGCUCUGUUGUUAAGGAAGAACGAGUGUGAGAAUGGAAAGUUCAUGCUGUGACGGUACUUAACCAGAAAGGGACGGCUAACUACGUGCCAGCAGCCGCGGUAAUACGUAGGUGGCAAGCGUUGUCCGGAAUUAUUGGGCGUAAAGCGCGCGCAGGUGGUUUAGAAAGUCUGAUGUGAAAGCCCACGGCUCAACCGUGGAGGGUCAUUGGAAACUAAUAAACUUGAGUGCAGGAGAGAAGAGUGGAAUUCCUAGUGUAGCGGUGAAAUGCGUAGAGAUUAGGAGGAACACCGGUGGCGAAAGCGGCUUUUUGGCCUGCAACUGACACUGAGGCGCGAAAGCGUGGGGAGCAAACAGG